RNAcentral lists this ribosomal RNA (497 nucleotides) under uncultured bacterium. RNAcentral's name for it is "partial 16S ribosomal RNA". It matches the Rfam family "Bacterial small subunit ribosomal RNA", at positions 28 to 507 of the family's 1533-position model. The record is from RNAcentral.
GAUGAACGCUGGCGGCGUGCCUAAUACAUGCAAGUCGAGCGAACAGACUAGGAGCUUGCUCCUCUGACGUUAGCGGCGGACGGGUGAGUAACACGUGGAUAACCUACCUAUAAGACUGGGAUAACUUCGGGAAACCGGAGCUAAUACCGGAUAAUAUAUUGAACCGCAUGGUUCAAUAGUGAAAGACGGUUUUGCUGUCACUUAUAGAUGGAUCCGCGCCGCAUUAGCUAGUUGGUAAGGUAACGGCUUACCAAGGCAACGAUGCGUAGCCGACCUGAGAGGGUGAUCGGCCACACUGGAACUUAGACACGGUCCAGACUCCUACGGGAGGCAGCAGUAGGGAAUCUUCCGCAAUGGGCGAGAGCUUGACGGAGCAACGCCGCGUGAGUGAUGAAGGUCUUCGGAUCGUAAAACUCUGUUAUUAGGGAAGAACAAAUGUGUAAGUAACUAUGCACGUCUUGACGGUACCUAAUCAGAAAGCCACGGCUAACUACGUG